UUUUUCUUUCUAGCAUUAUAUGCUAUUGUUAAUCCUCUCAGAUAGGCUUUUGUUGUGUUCCACAAAUUCUGUAAAGAGGUGUGUUCUUUUGUAUUUACUUCAAAAAACAUUUCUAAUUCUCUUUUUAAUUUUGUUAAAUAUUCUUUAUCUCUCAGAAUUUGUGGGUUCAAUGUCCUCUUUGUUUUGAUUGGCCUUUCCAUGUUGCUAUCAGGGGAUUGUGAUCCGCCCAUACAUUUGGUGUUAUUUCUAUUUGCAGUAUGUCUUUCAUUAGGGUUUUACUUAUCCACGCCAUAUCAAUUCUGGACCAUGAUUUGUGGGGAAUGGAAUAAAAGGUGAACUGUUUUUCUUUUGGGUUAUAUAUUCUCCAGAUAUCUAUUAAAUUUUGUUCUUCUGCCAUAUUAAAAAUGUUUUUGGAAGGGUGUUCUUUUUUUUUACUAGUGCUUUGGUAGUCCUUUUUUGUGUCCGCAACUGCGUUAAAAUCUCCUAUCAUACAAAUAUCUUCUUUGCCUAAUUCUAAAAUUUUCUCAUGUAUUUUUCAUAGUAUCUUGUUGUUUAUGAGAAGCAUAAAUUGCAACGAGUAAAAGUUUCCUCUGUUCCCAUACAACUUCUAACAUUAAUGUUCUCCCUACUGAAUCUGCAUAUAGUGCUUCUGCCUCUAUUCCUUUUCUAACACAAAUUGCUACCCCUCUUUUUUUUUCUUGUGCUAGUGCUGUAUAAAGUUUUCCUAAUUUUUUAUAUUGCAAAUAUUUUUUAUCCUGAGUUCUAAUGUGUACCUCCUGGAGGCACACUAUAUCCAUUUUUUGUUUUGCCAAUUUCUUAAAAGUUUGAUUCUGUUUCAAUGGAGAGUUAAGUCCAUUUAUAUUUACUGACAGUAUUUUCAAAUUGUUUUCUAUUUUCUUUCUUUGCUGCUAUAACUAGUUCCUGUUAUUCCUUGCCUCUGUGCUCUUGUUCUUACUCUCUUCUCUUCUUGUGGUCUUUCUUCUCUUUUCUUUUCCUCUUCUUCCUGGUCUUUUCCAUUCUUUUCCAAUUGUUGAUCAUCUUGGCUGACAAAUUCCAGUUCUUCUGUGCUGCUACCAAGUUCUUCUGUGCCUACCAGUUGGGUGUGGAAGUCUCGUGCCUUAUCCAGAGUGUCUAUCUUGAUCUUCUUCCCUUGC
Non-coding RNA from Notechis scutatus (mainland tiger snake), 1154 nucleotides. The record is from RefSeq and is a predicted model, not a curated record. Lineage: Eukaryota; Metazoa; Chordata; Lepidosauria; Squamata; Elapidae.